UCGAGGGGCAGCAUGACUGUAGCAAUACAGUUGAUGGCGACCGGCAAACGGGUGCGGAACACGUACACAACCUUCCUUUAAGCGGGGAAUAGCCCGGGGAAACCCGGAUUAAUACCCCAUAGUAUGGUGAAAAGGCAUCUUUUUACUAUUAAAGAUUUAUCACUUGAAGAUGGGUGUGCGGCUGAUUAGCUAGUUGGCGGGGUAACGGCCCACCAAGGCAACGAUCAGUAACUGGUGUGAGAGCACGACCAGUCACACGGGCACUGAGACACGGGCCCGACUCCUACGGGAGGCAGCAGUAAGGAAUAUUGGUCAAUGGACGAAAGUCUGAACCAGCCAUGCCGCGUGGAGGAUGAAGGUCCUCUGGAUUGUAAACUUCUUUUAUAUGGGACGAAAAAGGGUCUUUCUAGAUCAACUGACGGUACCAUAUGAAUAAGCACCGGCUAACUCCGUGCCAGCAGCCGCGGUAAUACGGAGGGUGCAAGCGUUA
RNAcentral lists this ribosomal RNA (490 nucleotides) under uncultured bacterium. RNAcentral describes it as "bacterial SSU rRNA". It matches the Rfam family "Bacterial small subunit ribosomal RNA", at positions 62 to 543 of the family's 1533-position model. The record is from RNAcentral.